Molecule: RNase P RNA, 233 nt
Filed under: Methanobacteriota archaeon
Lineage: Archaea; Methanobacteriati; Methanobacteriota
Description: Euryarchaeota archaeon RNase P RNA component
Rfam family: Archaeal RNase P
About the family: Ribonuclease P (RNase P) is a ubiquitous endoribonuclease, found in archaea, bacteria and eukarya as well as chloroplasts and mitochondria. Its best characterised activity is the generation of mature 5'-ends of tRNAs by cleaving the 5'-leader elements of precursor-tRNAs.
Source: RNAcentral
CGGUGCCCGCGAGGGCGCUGAGGAAAGUCCCCCCUCCGAACGAAAGGCGGCCCCGUGCAAGCGGGGGUCCCGAGAGGGACGGCAAGGGCGCAGAAACGACACAGCCCGCGUCGCUAGGAUGAUUCGCCCGGCGAUGACGUUGACGCGGGAUCUGGUGAGACGGCGACUCCCCGCUGGAGCAAGUCCAAGUGGGCGCGAAACCUUCUUCUGUAAUAUCUUCUCCGUGUGGGGCG